CUGAUCCUGAAACACUCGCACACUGAAAUUUUGCAGAUUCUUCAGGAGAUUUAGGUGAAGAAAGGACUUCUGGGACCACCAGUUUCUGGCAAAAGUCUAAAUGGAAGUCUUUGGGCAAUGGGUAGAGAUCCCUUUUUGCUGGCCUAGUACAGAAAUUUUCAAUUGUGACUUUAUCACAGCUAAAGCUGAGUUCCUCACUUUCAUCACUCAUCUUAGUGUUAAGCUGCUCAUCAGGUCUUUCUGACAUUCCAGCAACCAAGGGCACCAUCAAUGAACUUCCUAUUCCUUCAAUUGGUGCAUCUUCAGUCAUGCUGUUUUCAACAAGGGCUUUUGGACCGAAUUUACCUUCGUUAGGUUCAUUGCACUCUUUAUGAUCUUGAUUGAGCAUUUCGGUACCACAACUGAAUAGUCUGGAGUUUGCUUCAAUUAUAUGCUUCUGGCUCAGAGAAUGACAAAUUCCUAACAAAAGAGUAAUCAUGAGGCCAUACACAAAUAAAAUCUAUUGCUCCGUCUAGUGCCAAACAAGUGUUGUCUUUGGUUGCAUGCAGUUAACCAAUCCAAACUUCAGUAAUCAAUACCUUUUAACAUUUUGGGUUUCAACACAUAAAAUUUAUUUGAAUAGUUGUCUGAAAGUAGUUUGGAAGUAUAAUGGUUCUUAUAUUUUAUAUGCUUGACAAAUUACAACAUAAACUAGAUGUCAAAAUUCCCUUUAGUGGACCCUGGACUAUGCCAAACAAUACAGAUAUCAACAUAGCAUCUUUCCCUCACCGAGCAAACAAGUUCAGGCUUACCAUGUUCAUCGGAGUAUGAUUUUUCUUGGACGAUAUCACUAUGUGAAGUAGGCAUAGACUUUCUUUCCACUUUCUCCUCACAAAGCACUUCCACGGCGGCAACAACAUCCCUGUGGUACAGAGAUUGUCUCAUUGCAUGAUCAAAAAGACUAAAGAAGAGACUACAUAUGGUUCAUAACAUUGGCAACUUUAGUAAUCCAAAAUAAAAUUACCUUUCAUUAAGAUGAGCACAAUCAGCCAAAUUAAUCUGGACUGAUGUAAGUGAACUUUUCAUGUGGCUAGACCUCAAGAACCCUAGGUAAAACAGUAUCAUUCAGUUAUUUCUAUGUGAGUUAUGAGGAUUAGACAGCAUGAUAUUACACGACAUGAAGACUUAUAGAUGAGAAGUUUGAUCGCACACAAAUAAAAUUUACCUCCAUUUUCUUUGACUUGCAUGGGAACAGACACGCAACUCUCUUUUUCUCAAAUAAUUGUCUUCUCAAAUAUAAUGCCUUGAAGAGACGAUUCUACUGAGAAGCCAUCUAAAAGCUCUUGUCGUGGGUAAUGAUCCUUAGGAUAAUCUUCUGGUAAAGCAGAACCAGAUGGAGUUCUUUCACCAACAACGGCCACAAUAGAUCCGUUCUCUCAAGUAAUACAAACAUCUUUAUCACAAUCAAGGCCAGAUACAAUAAUGUUUGGGCUUUCCAGCUUGGGGUUAAGCUGAUCGUCAUUCAAAUUUGACCUCUCUUCAGAUCGGGGCAGCACCAGUCCGCUUUCUAUGCACUUGGCAGUAGCAGCAGCCUCGACAAUAUCAUUUCAGCAGGGUUCAGAAGCAACUUGCUCUACCCUAUCCUCAAUGGAUCGAUCUUUAUGAUUGUGACCCUGACGCAACACUUCAGUAUUGGAACACUCAAUCGGUUCAUCCAAGUGAGACAGAUCGGAGCUAUGGUGUACUUUAACCCAUUGUCCUAAAUUUUUAGCACUUUGUAAUGCAAGGCCGUCAUGAGGAUCAGAUUCUUUUAUGUCCCCCUUCGAGAACAGGGACUGCAGAUCCAUGAUUAAUUCUCUCGGAUUUGAUGAGCAUGUUCCAGCAUAAUUCUUCAUUGUGUGCGCAGCUUCCUCAGACAAAGCACCUUCAUUCUCAAUUGCAUCUGGCACACAAUUGGAACAAAUAAACAUUAGUUCAAAAGCAAUAGUACAAGUAGGAGAUAUAAGCAUCUAAAUAAUACUGACCUACUCUACAUACAAUUUUCUCCCCACACGUUGAGGACCCAUCAAGAGAUGUUUGCAUUGAGAAGCCAUCUAAAACCUCAUGUUUAUACUCCUUGGACAAAUCUUUUGAUACACCAGAACCAGAUGGAGUUAUUUCACCAACAGAUCCACUAUCGAAAAUGUUACCAAUAUCCUUAUUGAAGUAAAGGCCAGAUUCCACAACUUUUGCUCCCUCCAGGUUAGGGUUAAGUUCUCCAUCUCUUAAAUUUGAUCUUUCUUUACCUGAGAGUAGUACAAUUCCCCUUUCUACGUUCUUGGCAGAGGCAUCCUCAAUAAUAUCUUCUGUGUCAUCGCUGCAUUGAUCAUUCUGACCUUGAUGUAGCACAUCAGUAAUGUAACCCAAACAUAUCUCAUAGUUGCAUGAUCAAAAAGACUAAAGAAGAGACUCCAUAUGGUUCAUAACAUUGGCAGCUUUAGUAAUCCAAAAUAAAAUUACCUUUCAUUAAGAUGGGCACAAUCAGCCAAAUCAAUCUGGACAGAUGUAAGUGAACUUUUCAUGUGGCUAGACCUCAAGAACCGUAGGUAAAACAGUAUCAUUCAGUUAUUUCUAUGUGAGUUAUGAGGAUUAGACAGCAUGAUAUUGCACGACAUGAAGACUUAUAAAUGAGAAGUUUGAUGGCACACAAAUAAAAAUUACCUCCAUUUUCUUUGACUUGCAUGGGAACAGACACGCAACUCUCUUUUUCUUCAUGUCUGCUGAGGUCUUGCAGAUUAGACUUUUCAGUACUUCCCUCUGAGAAAAGAGACUGCAGGUCCAUGACUAAGUGUCUAGGAUCUACGGAGCUAGUUCCAGUAUAAUUCUUCAUUCUGCACACUGCUUCCUCAGACAAAGCACCUUCAUAUUUAUUAUCAGGAGUUGCUAAACUUGAUGAAGGAUUGUCAAUUGCUGAUACAUCAUUUUAAAAAAUACACAUUAACUGAUAACUAAUAAUGUAAGACAUCUUCAGGUUCAUAAACCUCAUGAAGUUACUAACCUGCUACACCAGAAACGAUUGUCUUCUCAAAUAUAAUGCCUUGAAGAGACGAUUCUACUGAGAAGCCAUCUAAAAGCUCUUGUCGUGGGUAAUGAUCCUUAGGAUAACCUUCUGGUAAAGCAGAACCAGAUGGAGUUCUUUCACCAACAACGGCCACAAUAGAUCCAUUCUCUGAAGUAAUACAAACAUCUUUGUCACACUCAAGGCCAGAUACAAUAAUGUUUGGGCUUUCCAGCUUGGGGUUAAGCUGAUCGUCAUUCAAAUUUGACCUCUCUUCAGAUCGGGGCAGCACCAGUCCGCUUUCUAUGCACUUGGUAGUAGCAGCAGCCACGACAAUAUCAUUCCUGCAGGGUUUAGAAGCAACUUGCUCUACCCUAUCCUCAAUGGAUCGAUCUUUAUGAUUGUGAUCCUGACGCAGCACCUCAGUAUUGGAACACUCAAACGGUUCAUCCAAGGGAGACAGAUCGGAGCUAUGGUGUACUUUAACCCAUUGUCCUAAAUUUUCAGCACUUUGUAAUGCAAGGCCGUCAUGAGAAUCAGAUUCUUUUGUGUCCCCCUUCGAGAACAGGGACUGCAGAUCCAUGAUUAAUUCUCUCGGAUUUGAUGAGCAUGUUCCAGCAAAAUUCUUCAUUGUGUGCGUAGCUUCCUCAGACAAAGCACCUUCAUUCUCAAUUGCAUCUGGCACACAAUUGGAACAAAUAAACAUUAGUUCAAAAGCAAUAAUACAAGUAGGAGAUAUAAGCAUCUAAAUAAUACUGACUUACUCUACAAACAAUUUUCUCCCCACACGUUGAGGACCCAUCACGAGAUGUUUGCAUUGAGAAGCCAUCUAAAACCUCAUGUUUAUACUCCUUGGACGAAUCUUUUGAUACACCAGAACCAGAUGGAGUUAUUUCACCAACAGAUCCACUAUCGAAAAUGUUACCAAUAUCCUUAUUGAAGUAAAGGCCAGAUUCCACAACUUUUGCUCCCUCCAGCUUGCGGUUAAGUUCUCCAUCUCUUAAAUUUGAUCUUUCUUUACCUCAGAGUAGUACAAUUCCCAUUUCUACGUUCUUGGCAGAGGCAUCAUCAAUAAUAUCUUCUGUGUCAUCACUGCAUUGAUCAUUCUGACCCUAAUGCAGCACAUCAGUAUUGUAACCGAAACAUAUCUCAUAGUUAUCAUUGGCAGGAGAGUGCAGUGCACUGCUCAGUACAACAUCAGUAAUACCAUAUGCAUUGCCAUCUGCAGUAGGUUAUGUAUAAAAAAUAUAGUCAAAUGUAAAAUAUAUCCAAGCAUGCUUUAAGUCUUGAGAGACCACUAAUUUUCUAUAUAAAGAACAAAGGUCUACAACUGUAGAAUCAAUAAAGGAUGUACCUGACCCAUUGACAUUUGUUUUCUCAGAUGAAGCUUUAAAAUCUUCAGAAUGGACAAACUUUUUGCUUCUUUCACCCUCAGAAGCCACUUCCUCGAAAUUAAUGAUCCUACAAAAUUGGUUUCCCAUCUUAAAAUAUUCAACACAUACCAUUUCCCAUAACAUAUGAACUUUUAGUGGUAGCAUGAAAAACAUGCUUACUCCUUUUUGUGCUUUGCAUCCAAUGAAAAGACCGACAGGACCCGUUUUUCAUCAAGGUUAGCCUCUGGUAAUCCUAUAAAAAUGAACAGUUCUUAUGGGUACCUUUUAAAUGGCAGGAAAUACCUUAUUUCCCUACGUUUAGAAGAAUCCAAGGAAAUUAUGGAGGAGCGUAGUAUAGAAGGGAGGGGAAAAGUGUGAUGUCUAUACCUUCCAUUCCAUUAUCUUGUUGGGAUGUUUGCGCACAAUCAUCAUUUUUGGAAAUACCUUCUUCAGUAUCAUCAUGUGAAUAAGGCUCAGACACAUGAGUAUUUUCGAGAGCAGACUUGACAUGGCAAUCUUUUGAAUCAUCAAAUCCAUUUUUAGUAUGAGCUGUCACAGAAUUCAUAGAUUCAUCUAUGUUUUCCUAUGAGAACGAAGACUCCAGGACAAAUGGUGAUUGUUCUUCACUUGAUAGAGAUCUCGUGUUCUUUGGUAGCAAUGAUGUUUCCUCAGGCAAACCACAUUUAUGUUUACAUUCUGGUGUUGUUGAACAUGGUGAAGGUUUCUUGAGGUCACCUGAGACACAUUUAUGUAUUAUUCUCAAACAACACUUAACAAAUAGUACAACAGGAACUGAUACACUCACUAUUCCAAAAAAAGGAAAGAAAGAUACACUCACUAUCGACUUAUCCAGCUAUCAUAGAAAUGGAUGCUUACCUUCUUUCACAUCACCCUGUUGGGCCAGAAUUGUAGCUUGUUCUUCAAGAUUAUCUGCAACAAGCCUUCCGUUCUUUUCAGUAAUGCUACAACCUGAUUCCGUACCAGAACCAGCAAGUUCAUCGUUUAACUUCAUGUUUAGGUCAGUCUUGGCAAGAACAUGCUGAUCAUUAAUUUUCUCCUGAGUAAAAUCUUCUGAGAAAGGGGAAAGGAUAGAUUAAAAAAAAGAUAAGUGGCCAAUUAACAUAAGAAACUCUUAUGGAGAAUUAAUACCUUCUUCAACACCUUCAUCAACAUCAAGUUUCUUGUCAGCAUCACAUUCACCCUCACAAGCCACUUCCUCAGGAUUAAUGACCCUACAAAUUGGAUUUCCAAUCUUAAAAUGAUCAAACACAUACCAUUCCUAUAACAUAUGAACUUUUAGUGGUACCAUAAAAAAAAAUGCUUACUCUAUGUGCUUUGCAUCCAACGAAAAGACUGACAGCACCCGUUCUUCAUCAAGGAUAGGUUUUCGUAAUCCUAAAAAAAUGUACAGUUAUUAUGGGUACCAUUUAAAUGGCUGGAAAAGGCCUCACUGAUAUAGGUUUGGAGGAAGCCAAGGAAAUUAUGAAGGUGGAAAACUAUAGAAGAGGGGGACAAAAUGUGAUGUCUAUACCUGCCAUUAUAUGAUCUUUCCGGGAUGUAUGCAUACAAUCAUCAUUUUUGGAAAUACCUCCUUGAGUAUCAUAGUGUGAAAAAGGUUCUGACACAUGAGUAUUUUCGGGUGCAGAUUUGACCUGGCAACCUUUUGAAUCAUCAAAUCCAUUUUCAGUAUGAGCUGUUGCAGAUGCAAGUGCACCAUACCCCACAGAUUUAUCUAUGCUUUCCUGUGAGAACAAAGACUCCAGGCCAAAUGGUGAUUGUUCUACACUUGGUAGAGAUGUCGUGUUCAUUGAGGGCAAUAUUGUUUCCUCCGUCAAAUCACAUUCAUGCUUACACUCUGGUGUAGCUGAACAUAGUGAAGGUUUCUCGAGGUCACCUGAGACACAUUUAUACAUUAUUUGCAAACAACACUUAACCCGAUAUUACAACUAGAACUGAUACAACACUAUUCACUUAUCCAGCCAUCAUAAAAUGGAUGCUUACCUUCUUGCCAAUCGCCCUGUUAGACCUGAAUUGUAGCCUGUUGAUUAAGAAUAUCUGCAACAAGCCGUCCGUUCUUUUCAGUAAUGCUGCAACCUGAUUCUGUACCAGGACCAGCAAGUUCAUCGUUUAACUUCAUGUUUAGGUCAGUCUUGGCAGGAUCAUGCUGAUCAUUACUUUUCUCCUGAGCUAAAACUUCUAAGAGAGGGCAAAGGAUACAUUAAAAAAAUAUAAGUGACCAAUCAACAUCAAAAACUCUUUAUGUAGGAUUCACACCUUCUGCAACACCCUCAUCAACAUCUAGUUUCUUGUCAGCAUCACAUUCAGUAGGUUGCACAUCCUCAUCUUCCAGACAAUCAGAUCGCACAUAGAAACCAGGUGUUACAGGGGUGCUAGGUUUGUUUCCACCAUCCAUUUCUACAGUAGUGUUUUCUGCAUUUCUGGAAUAGCUUUCUUUGCCCCCUUCUGCAAACAUUAACUCAAGGUCAAAUGAUGAAGGUCUUCCAUCUGAUGAACAUCCCUUAUCAGCAUUCAGUACUGGAACUGGAAGACUAGUAUCAUUAGCAGCACCUUCCAAGUGCAGAAUUGUCGAAAGAGGGUUCCCUAUGCUGCACCUGCUGGGACAUUCCUCCAGAUCAGCAGGUCGAAUGCUUUCUUCAGCAACUGCAUUGUAGUGAAUUUCUGGAUUAGUAUAUGAUUCUGAUAUUAGCACGGCAGCUUCAGAAAUUGAUGAAUCAUACUAUAGCAUUAGAAAAAAACAAAGACCACUGGCCAAAUUUUUUUGCAGUCAGAAGGGCAAUCAUUGUCGAUGAGUUACACAAGAACUAGACGUUGUGCUCACUCAGAAUAGAAAAAAUAAAUAGAUCAGAUAGUUAUAAGAGAACAAACAAUAAUGAACCAUAGGCCUAGUUGUGUCUACUGUCAACUGAGUUCAAUAUGCACUAGUCAUGUGUCUACUGCCAACAGAGUUCAGAAUUCUUCAGUUGUUAUCCAUUUCGAUGUUUCAAUUUUGCUCCAUUGGUGAUAGUUAACAUGGUUUUAGCAGUAGCACUAAGCCACUAACGUAUCUGAACAAAUGGCACAAUUCUGCAUAUUUUUUCUAUUCUCCUCAAUCGAGAAAGCCAUAGGCAAAACAUCUCGAGAUUUUGCAAGUUUAAUGUAGUGAAUUGAAAAUCAUGUAACAAGAUGAGUAAGUAGUACAAGAUCUUUAGGAAAAACAGUGAAGAAAUUACAAGGCAGGUUUUGAAUUUUGACCAUCCAAUCAAAUUGAAGAUGCAAGUACCAAUUAGCUGGCACAGGUCAAUUCAGCUGUUUAACAUACAUAUUAUCUUUUAAGUCAGUAAGUAGUUAUGGAUAGAGGAUUAAUCCAGUAGUACCUUUAUUAGUCUCUUCAGCUAUUACGUCAGUAUCAUGUUGCAGACUUUUGGCGUGGAGACCAAUGGACAUGACGUUAGCAAGGUUCUUUUUCCCAGGCUCACUUGAAUUUGCUUCCAAGCCAACUCUCCCUUCUUCGGAUAUAGAGCUUUGCCAUUCAUGAUCUCCAACAAUCAAAUCAAUUGAUAAACCAUUUGGUGAUUUUGCAAUGACAAAGACUGCCUUUCAGUAUAUAGCAAGACAGUAAUGGGCAAAGGGCCAAAACUAAUUAUGACAUCACAAAAUCAAUAAGGUAGUUAUAUGCCAGCUUUUGAGCAUACAAAGAAGAUCAAUAAAAUAUAAUUGUGAUGAUGAUUGUCUACAACAGAUAAAUUGAACAUAGAUAAAGCCUAUAAAUUUGGCAACACAGAAAUAAAUUAACUAGCAUGUCAUUUGCACCCAUGUUAACCUCACCUUUGCUCACCAAUGAUUUGUCCUCUGAGAUAUCAACAUUGUGUACGACUAGUCCAGCGAUACAAAAUGAUUGGUCUAAUUCCCCACUUGCCUGAAUGUCAGAAUGUUCCUGCUUACUCUUAUCUGAAUUUUCAUUUGCAUUGUCACCAGAUUCUGACACAGGUAUCACCACAGGUACACUCUGCGCUGUGAAAAUUUCUUCAGUGAGUGUCACUGUUACAAGCAAUGGUCCAGAAAAGUGCUCUUGUCUUGUGGCAUUAACCUGACCAAAUUCUUGAACUCUACUACCAGAUUCCUUAUACUCAUAAGUAGCUUUGUGUGCAUCCUUUGUUGGUUUCCUGAUAAUUAUGUCAUCAUUUGCCUCCUUGACUGACUUCACUUCUUCUGAAGCAGUUGUUCAUCUCCUCUUUGAAUACCUUCCCUUUAAAGUUGUAGAAAUUGAUGCCUGCUGUGUUCCCCCUGUGUUAUCUUUUUCAUUUGGGAUUGGUGUGAUCUGCUGAUUCUUGAAUUUCUCUCCAUCAAAAUCUUCAAUCUUCCAGGAAUCAUUAGCUGAAGAGGAUAUUUCCAGUGAAGACCUUCUGUGCUUCCUCAAUUUCAAGCCCUCUUCACCAACUCUUUCCAGUUCCCGUGCAACUAUUUCAGUGUGAUCCAUGCUCGCCUUUUCAACUUCAUUAAGAGCAACAGAUUUAUGUGUUGAUCUCCUCAUAGGAUUUUUUGACAUCUUUUCCUCAUGAAGACCAUUACUUGGUUCCUUAAGCGGCACUGCAGCAACAGAUCGCUUUGAUCGCUUAAUAGGUUCCUUUACUUUCUGGUGCCUCUAAUCAUCUUUACAUUUAACACUUUGAAAGUUCUCCUUUCUCGCCAAUUUACUAUGAUCUUGGUUCUCCUCAUGAAGCACAUUAGGAAGAACAGACUUCCGUGUUGAUCUCCUAACAUUCAUCUCAGCAUACAUUUGUGCUGCUAGAAGUCCACUAUUCUUCCCAAGCAUAUCAGGUAGAACAGAUUUACGUGAUGAGCGCCUAAUAGGUUGCUUGACAACAAAUUGCUUCUCCACACCUUUGCCCUUAGCAUUUUCAGUUCCUUCGCCAGCAGCUUUAAUAUCUUUAACUGGCAUUACAGGUUUCCGCAUUGAUCUCCCUUCAUGUGCUUCCAUAUUCUUUCCUGUGAUGAGACCCUUCUCUUUCUCAUGCAAUUCUGAGACAACGGAUUUACGUCUCGAUCGCCUGACAGACCCUUUAGUUGCUGGUUGCUUCACCACAUCUUCACUAUUAGUAUUAUGAAUCUUUUCACCAAUAACAUUAAUAUUUUUAACCGGCACAAUUGAUUUCCUCAUUGAUCUCCUACCAUGUGCUUCAGGGUUCUUUUCUUCAACUAGAUCAUUCUCCUCUUUCUCAAGUGUAGCUAGGACAACAGAUUUACGUGUUCAUCGCUUAAUCGGUUCUUUAACUUCUAGCUGCUUCUCCACAACUUCAGAAUGAUUUCGUCUACCUGAUCGCCUCAAUAGGGGAGCCUUAUUGGGAGCAACAAUUUGUUCUUGAUUUUUGUCCUCCAUAGAAGAUGAAACCUGUUGAUGCCUACGAGUAGGUGGCCUACUGGGUUGCGUCUUGUUUUCCAACUGCCUGGCAGUGUGAGUUUCAUCCACCGUACUGUUGUUAACUUGAACAACUCUAUUCCUCAAAGACCUGGUGACAGAAGCAUCAUUUCUAGGCACAUCUGAGACUGUAGGCAGCUCUAAAUUUGCUCGUGCAUCUCCAGUCUUCCUCCUCCUCUUGUUCACAACGACAAUGGGUGACAUUACAACAGGUGCUGUUGCACGAGAUCUUGUAAUCCUAGCUGUUACUUCCACCUGAGCCAAAUUCUACACAUCAGGCUCACUGUCUUGAGCCUCAGCAGCAAGUUUACUACCACCAACAGCUACUUUGCCCCUCCCUCUCUUCUUCUCGACAACAGGAGGCAACACAGCAGCAGGCCCUGCCAAGCUUGACCUUCUUGUCACUCUAGACAAAACUCCAACCUGAGCACCGAUAGCAACAGCCUCAUCAUUCUCCUGGUCCUUGCGCUUGCGCUUCCUAUCAACAGCAACAACCUCUCCUGCUUCCUCAGCCUCGGCAGCAUAUAAGGAGUUCCUCCUGGACCGCCUCACCGGGACAUCUGCGACCACAAACGAAUUCCUCCUGGACUGCCUCACCGGGACAUCUGUGACCACCUCUGCAGAAAUACUAUCUUCAGCAGCAGCAGAAUCAGUACCAGCUUGAGUAGACUUUCCCCUUGUCUUGACAACAAUCGGUAACCAGAUGACCCGAGACCUCAGUCUCCUUGUUUUCCCUUCCUUUGCCGCAAAAGUAACCUUCUUCGCCUCAGCAGCAUCUCGGCCUAUUUGCUUCAGACACCCCUUCCUCGCUGGCACUCUGGCCACCUCCUGCUCCGCACGAGUGGCCCCCUGCAACAACGAGGGGAAUCAACCCAACAACAACAUUAGAAGGAGCAACACCGCCAAACAUUCCCAUAAAAAAACCAAAUCGAAUGAGCGGAGCAUUUCCACAAGCACUUGGCGGCUCGACGAGCAUUUCACUGCCUUACGGGGGUAGCGUGUUCGUGUACUUACCAAGAGCACGGCGUCGAGACGGGCGACGAGGUCGGCGUUGGAGCCCCCGGCGGGGAGGCCAUGCCUCUUGGAGAGCGCCUGGAGCUCCCGCCGCUUCAUCCCCGCGUGAUCCAUCCCUCGCACACCUCCAGCCCGCGGGAGAUCACCACCGCCUGGCCAUCUCUUCCUCUCUGAGUCUCCUGUGGCUCAGAUUCGAAUUGGCCGGCGGCGAGGCGCGACGAACUGCUCUACUAUUUCGGCGGGACGGCGCGGCCGAGAUGGCAUUUUUUUUCUUUUUUGUUUUUUUGGGCUCGCCCCUUUCGGGAGCGGGUUGAAAUGGGCACGCGGCUGGCGGUGGAGGUGGGUGGGCGCGUGGCGGCUCCUCGGGUGGGGGAUCAGACCUAUUUCCAUUUCUGACUGUUCAAUUUCUACAGCUUCAAGCACAUUUCUACGGGUGCUCCAACGAGGACUAGUGGAGAGUGGUGACUCUCCGAUACCUCGGCAAAACAUCGCCGAGCACUUUCUUCCACUACUCCUUUACUUUCUAGCUUUUACUUUGUGUUUUUACAUUCUUAGAAUUGCCUUGCUAGAAUAGGAUUGGAACUAGGUUGCAAAACUUUUAUCCGGUAGCUCUCUAAGUCACACUAGGCACAAGGGGUUGAAUUGGAGCUUAUAGGUUGCUUAAAUUUUUAAAGAAGCCCAAUUCACCCCCCCCUCUUGGGCAUCUUGAUCCUUUCAUACAGCUUCAAGCACAUUGCUAGCAUUGGUUUGGUCUUCAUUAUUUUGAUUGAAUUCCUCAUGAUCCUGAUUGAGCGUUUCAAUAUUACAAGUCACUUGCAUACUGGUGCUUUCAUUCACAUGCUGCUGGCAAGGCCCUGACAUAGGUAAAGCUAGAAUGAGAGAAUACAAAGAAAAUUACAGAUAACUUUGUUGAAGUCUAUGUAUGAGUCAAGAAUAUAUAAGAAUGAAAACAUUAUUACCAACCUGAUCCUGAAAGACUCGCACGCUGAAAUUUUGCAGAUUCUUCAGGAGAUUUAGGUGAAGAAAGGACUUCUGGGACCACCUGUUUCUGGCAAAAGUCUAAAUGGAAGUCUUUGGGCAAUGGGUACAGAUCCCUUUUUGCUGGCCCAGUACAGAAAUUUUCAAUUGUGACUUUAUCACAGCUAAAGCUGAGUUCCUCACUUUCAUCACUCAUCUUAGUGUUAAGCUGCUCAUCAGGUCUUUCUGACAUUCCAGCAACCAAGGGCACCAUCAAUGAACUUCCUAUUCCUUCAAUUGGUGCAUCUUCAGUCAUGUUUUCAACAAGGGCUUUUGGACCGAAUUUACCUUCGUUAGGUUCAUUGCACUCUUUAUGAUCUUGAUGGAGCACUUCGGUACCACAACUGAAUAGUCUGGAGUUUGCUUCAAUUAUAUGCUUCUGGCUUAGAGAAUGACAAAUUCCUAAC
This 12243-nucleotide long non-coding RNA is filed under the name Sorghum bicolor (sorghum). RNAcentral describes it as "long non-coding RNA (SBIC_LNC013547)". The record is from RNAcentral. Lineage: Eukaryota; Viridiplantae; Streptophyta; Magnoliopsida; Poales; Poaceae.